RNAcentral lists this long non-coding RNA (205 nucleotides) under Jaculus jaculus (lesser Egyptian jerboa). RNAcentral describes it as "HOXA11 antisense RNA 1 conserved region 5 (ENSJJAG00000008970.1)". It matches the Rfam family "HOXA11 antisense RNA 1 conserved region 5". The record is from RNAcentral. Lineage: Eukaryota; Metazoa; Chordata; Mammalia; Rodentia; Dipodidae.
CUAGGAGAACCGAAAACAGUUCUAGACAGACCUGCGGUUUUAUGGCAGUUUUGGCAGUCAACUUCAGCUGUGUCUGAGCAGUGGGGCCGCAGUGGCCCGCUGCUGGGGGGAUGCUAGGCGGUCUCUGCUAGUUGCCCUGGCUGCUCCUUUCUUAGCUAGAUCGAUUUCCCCUGGUGCCAGAAAGAAGGGGAUCACCGCAGAAAGG